Molecule: ribosomal RNA, 194 nt
Filed under: uncultured bacterium
Lineage: Bacteria
Description: partial 16S ribosomal RNA
Rfam family: Bacterial small subunit ribosomal RNA
Source: RNAcentral
CCUACGGGAGGCAGCAGUGGGGAAUUGUUCGCAAUGGGCGCAAGCCUGACGACGCAACGCCGCGUGGAGGAUGAAGAUCUUCGGGUCGUAAACUCCUGUCAGCAGGGAAAAAGGGAGGCGACCUCAUACGUCGUUGACUUGAUUGUACCUGCAGAGGAAGCCCCGGCUAACUCUGUGCCAGCAGCCGCGGUAAU